AACCAACCAAACCACUGGUCGCUCAUCAGAAACUAGGCAAAUGACCACACCUGCUAAAGUUUAUGAAAACACUUUCUCUUCCCUUUGCAAGCAGAUUAUAUGUGAAAGCUCAGCAACAGAAAGAAAAUCAUUCUCUCUUUGUUUCUCCCCCCCCCCCAUCACAUGGAAAAUAAUAUCUUCCUUCUUUGGGGUUACCAUUUUGCAGACAAGUAUAAGCAAGACAGAAAUAUCUUUUUGUCAAAUGAUGUCUUUAUUAAGGAUUGUUGAAGCUAUUGCUAUUAUGCUAUUGGUAAAGUAACCAAGAUGGUACCUUGGAUACUGGGCUUGGAAUCGAGAAGACCUUAGUUCAAUCCAGCCUUGGAUACCUUCUAGCUAUGUGACCCUGGGCUUACUUAACCCUGUUUCUUGUCUAUAAAAUGAGCUGAAGAAGGAAAUGGCAAAUCACUUGAGCAUCUUUGCCAAGAAAACCCCACAUAGGAUCCUGAAGAACUGGACAAGAUUGAGAUGACUGAACAUCAACAAAAACUUAAUUUGCCUCUGUUCUUAUGCUCUUCUAUAGGAUAAAGAGCAGGUAAAAUCUACCCAUGUUCUACAAGGCAGAAUUUUUAAAGUUGAAGAUUAUGGCACAUUUGCAAUUUGCACAUUAUUUAAUCUAUUAAGGAAGAUCAUUUAAGACCAAUGCAAAGACCAUGAAUACCAACUUUAAAAAACAAAAAAACCCAAAAACUCUGCUUUGGCUUACUGACAUAUGUCCUGACAAUCCCUGUGAGACAAUUCCCAUAAGCCUUAGAAAUAGUAGCCUGAAGAGAGACGAUGUUAUGCGAAAGAAUUUUCCAAAGGCAACUGACUAUAUUGUUUUUUCUCCCUUAAAAUGAAUGAAUAACUUUGAUCUAUCAACUGUGAAAAGUAAACUGGGUGUGACCUUCCAUCAUCAGCUAAUCAUCUCACUUAAUGACAUUUCUUAACUUUGCUCUGAUAUUAGGUCAUGGUCUUUCUUUGUACUGUCAGGAUUUUUCAUCCAAAGGCUAAUUGUUUCCUUUUACGUGUAUAAGGAUAGCUUGGGAAUCACAUGGGCUUAAUCUGAAGUUCAUCUUUGUGUCUCAAAUAUCUGACAAUUCUUUGUGUUUUCUUGUAUCUAUCCCAGAAAGGACCUUUUCUGUAUGAAAUAAAUAAAGAAAUAAACAAAUUCA
Molecule: long non-coding RNA, 1190 nt
Filed under: Monodelphis domestica (gray short-tailed opossum)
Lineage: Eukaryota; Metazoa; Chordata; Mammalia; Didelphimorphia; Didelphidae
Description: lncRNA (ENSMODG00000043434.1)
Source: RNAcentral